Molecule: non-coding RNA, 124 nt
Organism: Canis lupus familiaris (dog)
Lineage: Eukaryota; Metazoa; Chordata; Mammalia; Carnivora; Canidae
Source: Rfam
AGCUUUUCACAGUGGCUGUAUCAUAGGCAAUGAAGUUUACCUGAGGCAUGAUUAUUGCUAAUGGAAACAUUAGACAGAUUCUGUCUUCUACAGUAUCUGUGAUUCUUAAGGUUGGGUGGAAAGG